This 253-nucleotide ribosomal RNA is filed under the name uncultured bacterium. RNAcentral describes it as "partial 16S ribosomal RNA". It matches the Rfam family "Bacterial small subunit ribosomal RNA", at positions 524 to 776 of the family's 1533-position model. The record is from RNAcentral.
CACGUAGGGCGCGAGCGUUGUCCGGAAUUAUUGGGCGUAAAGAGCUCGUAGGCGGCUUGUCGCGUCGAUUGUGAAAGCCCGGGGCUUAACUCCGGGCCUGCAGUCGAUACGGGCAGGCUAGAGUGUGGUAGGGGAGAUCGGAAUUCCUGGUGUAGCGGUGAAAUGCGCAGAUAUCAGGAGGAACACCGGUGGCGAAGGCGGAUCUCUGGGCCAUUACUGACGCUGAGGUGCGAAAGCGUGGGGAGCAAACAGG